GACGAACGCUGGCGGCGUGCUUAACACAUGCAAGUCGAACGAUGAAGAAGAGCUUGCUCUUCGGAUUAGUGGCGAACGGGAGAGUAACACGUGACUAACCUGCCCCUUUCUCUGGGAUAACGCUCCGAAAGGAGUGCUAAUACCGGAUACUCACAUCGAGGCACAUGCCUUGAUGUGGAAAGUUUUUCGGAAAGGGAUGGAGUCGCGGCCUAUCAGGUUGUUGGUGAGGUAACGGCUCACCAAGGCGACGACGGGUAGCCGGCCUGGGAGGGCGACCGGCCACACUGGGACUGAGACACGGCCCAGACUCCUACGGGAGGCAGCAGUGGGGAAUAUUGCACAAUGGGCGAAAGCCUGAUGCAGCGACGCCGCGUGAGGGAUGAAGGUCUUCGGAUUGUAAACCUCUUUCAGUAGGGACGAAGCGAAAGUGACGGUACCUAAAGAAGAAGCACCGGCUAACUACGUGCCAGCCGCCGCCGUAA
RNAcentral lists this ribosomal RNA (482 nucleotides) under uncultured bacterium. RNAcentral's name for it is "partial 16S ribosomal RNA". It matches the Rfam family "Bacterial small subunit ribosomal RNA", at positions 28 to 523 of the family's 1533-position model. The record is from RNAcentral.